GACGAACGCUGGCGGCGUGCUUAACACAUGCAAGUCGAACGGAAAGGCCCUGCUUUUGUGGGGUGCUCGAGUGGCGAACGGGUGAGUAACACGUGAGUAACCUGCACUUGACUUUGGGAUAACUUCAGGAAACUGGGGCUAAUACCGGAUAGGAGCUCCUGCUGCAUGGUGGGGGUUGGAAAGUGUCGGCGGUUGGGGAUGGACUCGCGGCUUAUCAGCUUGUUGGUGGGGUAGUGGCUUACCAAGGCUUUGACGGGUAGCCGGCCUGAGAGGGUGACCGGCCACAUUGGGACUGAGAUACGGCCCAGACUCCUACGGGAGGCAGCAGUGGGGAAUAUUGCACAAUGGGCGGAAGCGUGAUGCAGCAACGCCGCGUGCGGGAUAACGGCCUUCGGGUUGUAAACCGCUUUCGCCUGUGACGAAGCGUGAGUGACGGUAAUGGGUAAAGAAGCACCGGCUAACUACGUG
RNAcentral lists this ribosomal RNA (468 nucleotides) under uncultured bacterium. Its description in RNAcentral is "partial 16S ribosomal RNA". It matches the Rfam family "Bacterial small subunit ribosomal RNA", at positions 28 to 507 of the family's 1533-position model. The record is from RNAcentral.